Molecule: long non-coding RNA, 769 nt
Filed under: Brachypodium distachyon (stiff brome)
Lineage: Eukaryota; Viridiplantae; Streptophyta; Magnoliopsida; Poales; Poaceae
Description: long non-coding RNA (BDIS_LNC005311)
Source: RNAcentral
AAACACAGUCGAGUGUACAAAGCCAUCAAUCAAAAUCAUGUAUCGGGAUUGUAGUUUCUUGGUUAUAUUUGGUAUCAACUUUUUUUUCAACUUGAUAUUAUAUUUUUUAGCGAAACUUGAUAUUAUAUAAUGUGGUAAUAUUCUCCCGAAAUGACCUUUGGUAAGUUCUCGUUUUCAGGAACCGGCCCACAAAUAUAGUUUUAGGGUAAACCGGCCGAUAUGCUAAUGGGCUGAACAGACCAAAUUUGAGUUUUUUUUUCUCGUCCCAAGUAACAAAAAAGCACGUUCCACAACUUUCUCCUAAAGAAAACGUGUUCACCUCCUGGUAUUAAUCAACUAUAAAUACCUAUUUUUGUACUUGAUAUAUAUUUUCAUAAUAUACUUAUUUGAUAUUCUAGAUGUUGAAACAUUUUUCUAUAAACUUGGUAAAAAAAAUAAAAAAAGAGACAAAGGUAAGACGUUUUGUAUUUAGGAAUGGAGGUAUAGUACUAAACAAGAUGUUGUUUCUUAUUGCCACAAAUUUAAAAAUUAUGAUGCAGAGAGAAGUAUGAAAGGCUUGAAUAUCUGAACGCAAUGGAUGGUGUCGUUGUGAAAAUAAAUGGUGCAUAAAAAGAAAGCAAGUAUGGAGCUUGGCCUCACUAGAGCCAGUUUUGGUCUAUAUAUAAAACCCACUCCCUCUUCCUCUAUUAUUUGCUCCAAACUGCAGUGCCCAGACCAUAUAUACAGGGGCCUGCAUAUAUAGGCUAGCUACUCUUAUAAAUAUCGGCAA